Molecule: long non-coding RNA, 1432 nt
Organism: Astyanax mexicanus (Mexican tetra)
Lineage: Eukaryota; Metazoa; Chordata; Actinopteri; Characiformes; Acestrorhamphidae
Exons: 2
Source: RefSeq, a predicted model, not a curated record
GUCUUACACACUGCUUUUGGAUAACUUUAUGCUGCUUUACUCCUGGUGUAAAAAUUCAAGCAGUUCAGUUUGGUGGUUUGAUGGUUUGUGAUCAUCCAUCUUCCUCUUGAUUAUAUUCCAGAGGUUUUUAAAUUGGUAAAAUCAAAGAAACUCAUCAUUUUUAAGUGAUGUCUUAUUUUUUUCUAGAGCUGUAUAUUAAGUAUCGUAAAAUCACAAUAUCGUGAUAUUGUCAUAUUGUGAGAUUACCUGUUUUUCCCACCACUCAUAACAACCAUUUUUAGCCAAGUUUUGACUGAUCUUCUUGGCAAAUAUCUGAGUUAGCACAUAUAUAUAUUUUUUUAGCAAAUUUGGCCUUUUUUGGUACUUUUACAGAUGGUGCUUCUUUUAUAAAUAUGUUAUGAUGCCACGUACAAAUGAUCAGGGAUUUUGAUAGAGCACAUUUCCUUCUAUUAAUCUUUACUACUUCAUAUAUUUUACCCUAUUUUGACCAGAUUUUUAGAUUUUACACUUUGACUAAUAAUAAAAAUAAAAAAUGCCAUUUAUUUCAAUUCAGGGUGCAAUCCAAACAGAAUUGUGUAUAUUGCUAUAUUUCUUUGCAUGCAUUGGCAGUAUUCUUCUUUUUUUAUAACAAUUGAGCCUAAUUUGUGUUAACUUUUUUAAUUGAUACACAAUAAUAAUUGUUUUCCAGAACUUGCAUUGCAAUGGAUUUAAAAUGAACAGUAGAAAUGCAUUUUAUUUUUUGUUUGUUUUAGGCUAUUAUAACAUUAUUAUAACACUUGUGUCUCUUUUUUUAACUUAUUCGUCUUUAAAAGUCUAAUUAUUUCAUUUAAGCUAAUGAAUAUCAUUCUUUUUUUGUUGUUUUUGUUUGAGAAACUCAUGGUUGCACUUCACAUCUGCAUUUUUAAUAAAUAACAGAAAUAUUACUGAUAUAAGCAUGUGAUUUAUUAUUAUUUCUCUUUAAUCUGAGUCUAAACAGAAUAAUUAUCCAGUUAUGAAAAGCAAGUGUGAUCAUAAAAAGCCUCUGGAUUCAUUAUCUCUCAUAAGCUCUGCAUGGUAUCUCGUUUAUUAUCACUCGUAUUGUCCUUUAAAUCGAUAUUCAGAUGAUCUGAGAUCAGUAAAUGAGCCGUGAGGGGAAUGAUCUCAGCAGAGCUCCAUUAAAGUGAUGGAGAGUUCUUAAAGACGCUGGGUUUUAAACUGACUGAGGCUCUGUUUCUGUGCUGUUCUGAGUUCUGUAUUAGUGAACAGUGUUGUGAGCGAGUGUGAGCAGGACUGCCCUGAUAUCUGAGAAAGUGUAAGAGUCCCGCAGGACCCGUAACUCUCACAACCGAGACCAGCGACGGCGAUCGCUUCAGCAGAUCAUCUGCACGGCUAUAAAUGACUUUACUUCCUCCUUUAUACAGAAUAAUAUGAAGAAUAAACCUCCUGCAAUUCA